CCUACGGGAGGCAGCAGUGAGGAAUAGUGGUCAAUGGGCGCGAGCCUGAACCAGCCAAGUAGCGUGAAGGAUGACUGCCCUACGGGUUGUAAACUUCUUUUAUAAAGGAAUAAAGUGAGGCACGUGUGCCUUUUUGUAUGUACUUUAUGAAUAAGGAUCGGCGAACGCCGUGCCAGCAGCCGCGGUAAUACGGAGGAGCCGAGCGUUAUCCGGAUUUACUGGGUGUAAAGGGCGUGUAGCCGGGCUGACAAGUCAGAUGUGAAAUCCGGGGGCUCAACCCCCGAACUGCCUUUGCAACUGUUGGUCUUGAGUAUCGGAGAGGCAGGCGGACUUCCUAGUGUCGCGGUGACAUGCGUAGAUAUUAGGAG
Molecule: ribosomal RNA, 368 nt
Filed under: uncultured bacterium
Lineage: Bacteria
Description: partial 16S ribosomal RNA
Rfam family: Bacterial small subunit ribosomal RNA
Source: RNAcentral